RNAcentral lists this ribosomal RNA (606 nucleotides) under uncultured bacterium. RNAcentral's name for it is "bacterial SSU rRNA". The stretch from base 1 to 520 matches the Rfam family "Bacterial small subunit ribosomal RNA", at positions 338 to 873 of the family's 1533-position model. The record is from RNAcentral.
CCUACGGGAGGCAGCAGUGGGGAAUAUUGCACAAUGGGCGCAAGCCUGAUGCAGCAACGCCGCGUGAGGGACGACGGCCUUCGGGUUGUAAACCUCUUUUAGUAGGGAAGAAGCGAAAGUGACGGUACCUGCAGAAAAAGCACCGGCUAACUACGUGCCAGCAGCCGCGGUAAUACGUAGGGUGCAAGCGUUAUCCGGAAUUAUUGGGCGUAAAGAGCUCGUAGGCGGUUUGUCGCGUCUGCUGUGAAAACUGGAGGCUCAACCUCCAGCCUGCAGUGGGUACGGGCAAACUAGAGUGCGGUAGGGGAGAUUGGAAUUCCUGGUGUAGCGGUGGAAUGCGCAGAUAUCAGGAGGAACACCGAUGGCGAAGGCAGAUCUCUGGGCCGUAACUGACGCUGAGGAGCGAAAGCAUGGGGAGCGAACAGGAUUAGAUACCCUGGUAGUCCAUGCCGUAAACGUUGGGCGCUAGAUGUGGGGACCAUUCCAGGUUUCCGUGUCGCNGCUACGCAUAGCGCCCGCCGUCGGGAGGACGGCCGCGACGGACGUAAACUUAAAUAGAAGUAGACGGCGUGAGACGUCGCCGACGGACGACGACGAGGGAGGAGG